GACGAACGCUGGCGGCGUGCUUAACACAUGCAAGUCGAACGGUAAGGCCCUGCUUUUGUGCUGUGCUCGAGUGGCAAACGGGUGUGUAACCCGUCAGUAACCUAACGCUUACUUUGGCUUAACUUCACGAAACUGUGGCUACGACCGGACAGGAUCUCUUCCUUCAUACUUUGCGUUGGAAAGUUUCGGUGGUUGGGGAUGUACUCGCGUCGUAUCUGCUUGUUGGUCGGGUAGUGGCUUACCAAGGCUUAGACGGGUCGCCGGCCUGAGUGGGUGACCGGCCAGAUUGGGACUGAGAUACGGCACAGACUCCUACGGGAGGCAGAAGUGGAGAAUAUUGCACAAUGGGCGGAAGCCUGAUGCAGUAACGCCGCGUGCGGGAUGACGGCCUUGGGGUUGUAAACCGCUUUCGCCUGUGACGAGGCGUGAGGGACGGUAAUGGAUAAAGAAGCACCGGCUAACUACGUG
Molecule: ribosomal RNA, 468 nt
Filed under: uncultured bacterium
Lineage: Bacteria
Description: partial 16S ribosomal RNA
Rfam family: Bacterial small subunit ribosomal RNA
Source: RNAcentral